This is a long non-coding RNA of Bos taurus (domestic cattle), 1192 nucleotides long. The record is from Ensembl. NCBI's taxonomy places the organism in Eukaryota, Metazoa, Chordata, Mammalia, Artiodactyla, Bovidae.
GGAUUGCUCACGUUACUUCAGCCAAUCAGAGAACUGUGCAUGAGUGGAUUGCUUAUCAUGUAGCCCCCCUCCCUCACCAGGCCUUUCAAAAUACUUUGCUGAAACCUUCUGGGGAGUUGGGGGUUUGGGGGGCAAGAAAGAAAGUGAAGUCGCUCAGUGGUGUCCGACUCUUUGCGACCCCGUGGACUGUAGCCUACCAGGCUUCUCCAUCCAUAGGAUUCUCCAGGCAAGAAUACUGGAGUGGGUUACUGUUUCCUUCUCCAGAGGAUCUUCCUGACCCAAGGAUUGAACCCAGGUCUCCUGCAUUGGAGGCAGACACUUUAACCACUGAGCCACCAGGGAGCGACCCAUUUUCCUUGCAUGGCCUGCAGUAAGCCUUUCUCUGUUCCAAACACCAACAUUUCAGUACUGUUUGGCCUCACUGUGCCAUCAGGCACAAGGACUUGGCCUUUGGGAACAAGAGAAACAGAGGCCUGAGCCCCUUUCCAGAAGAUUUCCCAGCUGAGCUGAUUGGCUGUGGCAUUAGUCCAGGUAACCAAGUACCCUUUCCACGCAGAAGCAGCAGACCCAGAGUCAUAGCCAAGCACAAGCACAUACGUCUUUCACAGAGCACUGCGCUCUCUCAGGGCCGAGUCUCACCUUGGAGGUUGAUGAUGCUCCGAAGUCACGGGGAGCUGGAGCCCAUCUCCACCGACAGCCGUCUGGCUUUUGGAUUCCAGUCACAUUCUUCACCAGCCGAAGGGAGUGCUCAAGGCCCUUCUGUCCAUGGGAUUCUCCAGGCAAGACUACUGAAGUGGAUUGCCAUGUCCUCCUCCAGGGAUCUUCCUGACCCAGGGAUCGAACCCACACCUUUUAUGUCUCCUGCAUUGACAGGGCUGAGAGAGAGACCAACUCAGGAAAAACCCCUCCCACUUCACCCCUCCGCGUGGAGUCGGGGGCAGGUGCUGAGUUCAAGACUCCUUGGUGAGGGCUCAGUGGAUGCAGAGCCGCUGCUGAGAUAUGUCGUCAGAGUGUGUGGGAAAUCCUUUCGGAAUUCAAGAGAAAGGAUCCACAACGAGGUGCGGCACUUCAAGACUCACUGUGAAGCCCGCUAAGAGGCCACUGGGGGCUGGGCAGGAGUCCCGCACCGGACACGCCACGUGCACUGCCCCUUGUUUUAUUUUUCUGCCAAGAAAAUGCACUAGGUAUGAAC